GUAGGGUGCGAGCGUUAAUCGGAAUUACUGGGCGUAAAGCGUGCGCAGGCGGUUUUGUAAGACAGGCGUGAAAUCCCCGGGCUUAACCUGGGAAUUGCGCUUGUGACUGCAAGGCUAGAGUGCGUCAGAGGGGGGUAGAAUUCCACGUGUAGCAGUGAAAUGCGUAGAGAUGUGGAGGAAUACCGAUGGCGAAGGCAGCCCCCUGGGACGUGACUGACGCUCAUGCACGAAAGCGUGGGGGAGCAAACAGGAUUAGAUACCCUGGUAGUCCACGCCCUAAACGAUGUCAACUAGUUGUUGGGGAUUCAUUUUCUCAGUAACGUAGCUAACGCGUGAAGUUGACCGCCUGGGGAUACGGUCGCAAGAUUA
This 369-nucleotide ribosomal RNA is filed under the name uncultured organism. Its description in RNAcentral is "partial 16S ribosomal RNA". It matches the Rfam family "Bacterial small subunit ribosomal RNA", at positions 527 to 896 of the family's 1533-position model. The record is from RNAcentral.